AGUGGGAUAGCUGGGUCAAAUGGUGGUUUUAUUCCAAGUUUUCCAAGGAAUCUCUGUACUACUUUCCAGAUUGGUUGCACCAAUUUUCAGCCCCACCAGCAAU
Molecule: microRNA precursor, 103 nt
Filed under: Marmota monax (woodchuck)
Lineage: Eukaryota; Metazoa; Chordata; Mammalia; Rodentia; Sciuridae
Source: RNAcentral